Lagopus muta (rock ptarmigan) is the source of this 9519-nucleotide long non-coding RNA. RefSeq lists it as uncharacterized. The transcript has 7 exons. The record is from RefSeq and is a predicted model, not a curated record. NCBI's taxonomy places the organism in Eukaryota, Metazoa, Chordata, Aves, Galliformes, Phasianidae.
CGCUUCGGUAUUUCAUUGCUGAAGAUUGCUACAAAGUGAGGGAGAAUUACAGCUGUGGCACUUGUGUUGGAAUGCUGUCAAUAGCACAGUGCCUCCGCUCUUACUGCGUUGGCCCACGAUGGUGUGGGAUGGCAGCAGGGCUGAACCUUCCCCCUGUACUGCUUACACGUGGCUGCCGUGUGAUGGACGGCAGUCUGACAAAAUGGUGUCUGGAGUGGAAGCGUGUAUGAAGCAAACGUGUGUCACUGAAUUACUCCUCCGUGAGGAGAAAAUGGCACUUGCUGACCUUCCUUGACACUUGCUGAACGUCGAUGGAGAGCAAACAGUAAAUGUGAGCACAGUGUGGCGGUGGGUGGUGCACUGCAGGAACAUGAAAUACACAUAACAGCAGUGUGAAAUACACAUAACAGCAAUGUGAAAUACACAUAGCAGCAACGUGAAAUACAAGCCACGGCCUGGAUGGCCAGGCACAGCUGUCAUCUCUGCUGGUGUGGAUUGUUGCAAGCAGGGCAUGCAGGUUUCUUGUUCAUUGCUUGCAAAAAUGCAUUGCUAGUGGUAGUGACCGCGUUGAAAAAUAGUAUUUUGCAGCUGAGAAUGUUGUUUAUCAAGAAGAGCUAUUGUGCUCUUCGUAUCUGCUGUAGUUUCCAUGGAAAUAAAUAGGAGGCAUUACUUUCAGAGAAACCUACAUUUUUUUAAUCUUCUGUUUAGCUCUGAGCUCACUUAGUGUAUGUUAUAAUUUCAUUUGGACUCUGAAUUAUUUCUUCACCUAAAUUUCAGGUGCUUGAAGCAGGAUCAUUCGAAGUACUUAGAGGUGGUCUCCUAUUUCUUUCCUUCCCUGCUACCCAUAGAACCAUUUGUUGGAAGGGACACUUAAAGGCCACGUUGUCCAGCUCUCCUGCAAUGAACAGGGACACCUACAGCUGAUCAGAGAGCUCAGAGCCCCAUCCAGCUUCUCCUUGAAAAUCUUGGCAAGUGCUAAAAUUUGAUUUUGUGAAUGGUUUGUACAUAAAUAUUAAGGUGAUUUGUCACACAACAGUCAGUUAUACUCUUGAACCCUCCUUUCUGAAAUUUAUUCCAACUGUAUCAGUGCUGAUAGUUGUCUGUGCUGUGAAACUCAUUAUAUUGAGUGGUAGGAAAACACACUUGUGCCAGUUGUAGCAGAGAAAGUGGAAAAGAGCAAAGCCAUUAUUUGCACAGCCUUAAUGAGUUGUGAAUCCUGAAAGGCCCCAGUUUCUAUGUUUCACCAUAUGGAGAUUGUUGCAACAUGAAGGCCUUUGCACACUGCAUUCAGAUGUACCUCAGAAUCUGCUGCUCUCCUAACUGAAGAUGAAUAAAUGAAGAUGAAUGAAGAAAUACCCAUUCAUUCUAGUCUUGGACUCAAAAGAGGUGAAGGAAUCCUAAUGCUUUUGAGAAGAGAACUUCUCAGCUUUAUGACGGACAGAGUUUUACCUCAUGUAUACCUUCAUUGUGUAACUUCAUUGUCCCCAAAGAAUUGGGCCCAGUGAGGAGCACACAGAACCCUGUCAGUUGACACCGAAAUGAUGGAUAACAAGCAGCUUGGAAAACUGCAGACCUAUACAGGAAUGGUACUUUCUGGUUAAGGGCUCUAUUCUGGCAUAAAGAAAUGCCGUAGCUUCAGGAUCAGUUACCACUACAGUGGGCCACAGCUCUCUUCCAAGGCAGGUGUGUGAAUUUUAAACAAGGGGACGCACCCAAGCCUAGAGAGCAUUUCCAGGUGCAGCAAGCAAAGAUUUCCUAGUGGUAAUUAUUUCCCACCAACUCAGACGGAAGGACAGCGUGGGUGCCUGACAAACACUGAUAAGGAGAAUAUGCCAAGUCAACCAGAUAAGUCAGCACAGGCAACAUAAAGGACCGCAGUUAAAAGCUAGGGCUAGGACUUGGAGGAUGUGUAGGCAAACGGAAGGAGAGCCGGGGGAAGAAAAGCCGAAAUGGAUUCAUUCUCCGUCCUGGCUGGAGGAGGAGAGGAGCGGGGACGUGCGGGCUGCCUGCAGCUGCCUCUGUCCGGUGAGAAGUGCUCCCAGCCCCGCGGCUGACUCGGGCUCAGGAGUCCGCGCGGACUUUCGCUCUAAGCUGCCAAUCAAACCGCUAACCGCCACCACCCUGCGCCGGCACCGACAUGAGCUGAGGCACUGUGUUGUGCCAGAGCCACCUGUGCAGACCCCUCGGCCACCUCAGCCCUGAGCAUUGGCUGAACACAUCUGGAUAUUUCUAUUCAGCUCUGCAAACAGACAGAGAUACUCCAAGACUGCGUGUGAGACCAGAUGACGUGAAACUUUCUACCAUUAAACCCCUGUUCAGCUGUAGUCCAGAAGCGGGCAGCCCACAGCAGCUUGGGGAUGCUGACAGAAAGUUGGCCAUCGGAAGCCCUAAGCAGGUUUUUCCCACUAACACUGCGUGCUAGUCUGCACUCCCUUUCAGAAGGUGCUCUUUAGAAGCCGAAAUGUUUUCAGCCAAACCGAUUUCUUGCUGGCAGCUUCGGAUGCUGUAGCUGGAACCAGAGCAGCCCAAGGAGCGAAGCAAACAAUUAAAACAUUUACAUGUUUGCUUCUUGAUAGACAUCUCUACGAGGCGAGAUUCUAUGAAGCCUGAGUGACUUCAGAAGGAGAAACUUAUUAGAAGAAAUCUUUGCCAUUAUAUGUAUAGUAAGUCCACCUCCCGUGUGUGCUUGUGCUCCAUACAGUGCUGGGCUGCAUGAGAGGAAUGGGCACAUGCAGUUUGAUUUCGUUUUGCUCACCAUGGAAAGGGACAGCUGCAGCACGCUGACUGCUUUCUGAGAUAUCAGCUGCCAGAUAGCCUGUAACACCUCAGCCAGAGGCACAGGAACCUCUCCAUAAGUGCAAGCCAACCUGAGUCCAUACCUGCACAUGCAAGGUGCAGAUUCUUUGGACUCCACACCUGUAGUGUGGUGUCCAUGAAGCAGCAGCAGCAAAGCAGUUACCACUGUGUGGUAGCCAGCAAAGCUGGCUGUGAUUUACCCAUCCGAGCUCAUGCCUGUCUGAGGACAGCUGGAGCUGGUGAUAUGUUUGCCUUGCAGUACCCAGAAAACUGGAUACCUUUUGGAAUGGUUCUGAAUGGUUACACACAAAUUGGAGACAUUGGUCUCCUGCCAGACCAGGCAGAAAUAACACAGCAAUAUGCCUCAGGGAAGCAAGGAAGUUGUUUAGGACUUCCUCUUCCCUCAGCAAGAGCAAACCUGAAAGCCAUAGAGGGGGAGGCUGGGGAACCAAGCUUGGCUGAAGAUCUCUCAUCACUGACACUGCCAUGCUCCCAUCUCAGGCUGCUGGAGAGUGGUGUGUCCUUCGUGACUCACUGUACCCUCAUGAUCGCAUCUCAUCUUCUGGUGCCUGGCUGAGCACAGAGAGCCAGUUAUGCUCAGUGUAAGAUGUCAUCACAACAAGCAAUUGGAAAGGCCAAGGAAAGCUGAAAUCCGUGGCUGUGAAGAUGGGGGUGGCUGUUUCACUAUGAGAUGCAGAAGAACUAUUUCUCCUACACCUACCGCAGCCAGACUGCAGUUGUUGAGUUGAGUGACAAGGAAAUGGGAGCCUGGGAUGUCUCAGCACAAGCUUCCCUAAGCCUUGACUUGAUGGGUGAGCACCUGAACACAGCCAGAGCCUGUUACAUUAAAGGCUUUAUAAAAGCAACAGUGCCAAGCUAACAUCCACCUCCCACGUUACCGGCAGCCCCAGCAGGUGUAACGCGAUCCAGCAGUCGCAGCUAGCAGAUAAACAAACGGCCUUUCUGCACAGGUUGUGCCAGAGAGCCUCUCCCAGCGGGGAAUUGGGUUGGAUGUUGUGCUAGGUCAGUGAGCUGCUAUGGAAAGAGCUGUGACAAUGGACAAUCUCAUGGGGCUGUUGUCCUUUUUCCACACAGGAUUUCCCUCAACACCUAACAUAAGGCAGCAGAAAAACUGUUGGGGGAAGUUUCUCUACCAGGCCUCUGAAGUUCAGUGGGAUUGGGCCCUCCGUGAGAGCCUACUGCUGGAUUUCCCUAGGCCAGAGAAAAAAACUUCAGAGCUGCCGGGCCAGCCAGCAGCACUGAAUGCUGCCCACCAGAGCUGCUUGCCUGCUCUGCCAUUGGGGCCCAUCUCCAGUAAGCGAUAUUAACUGAAGGGCAUCCUACUUGGCUACAACAUAUCUUCCUUCUUCACUAUCAGCAUCUUAGCUGCCAGCUGUGGUGAAUUUCCCUUAUUCCACAGCUGAGGUAAUAAUGAUGCAUUCCCAGAAGCAGGUCCUGCACCUUGUGUACUGCAUUGGGCCUGCUGGUGUGUGGGCACACUGCUCCACACCACACCAAAAUGGCGUCCAUCUGGUACUGCCCCACAGCAUGUGGGCACACCAUUCUGCACCAAAAUGGCUUCCAUCCUGCACUGCUCUGCAGCGUAAGGACGCUCCACAACAAAAUGGUGGCUCUCCAGAACUUCCCUGCAGUGUGUGGGCACUCCACGCCAAAAUGGCGGCUAUCCAGCACUGCCCUGCAGCAUGUGGCAUUCCACACCACACCAAAAUGGUAUCUGUCCUCUGCUGCCCUGCAACAUGUGGGCAUACCGCAGCAAAACUGUGUGUGUGUGGCAGUGCUUCUGCAGUAUAUGAGCACACCACACCUAAAUGGUGGCUGUCCAGCAUUGCCCCACAGCAUCUGGCACACCACACCAAAAUGGCGGCCAUCCAGUACUGCUCCCCUGUCCCUGCACCCCAGCUGGGUCUCAUCCUACCCUUAAAGCCUCCCCCCUCCCUGCUCUUGCUCCAGUUCCUCAUGAGUUAUGAUAACAUAUAAGCAGCUUAGGGAAUUCUUAUCGGAAUGAGUUGAACACAAUGCGACGUUUAACUCUUAAUGACAGCCACCUCUGACUGAGUGACACAUUAUAAAUUAUGUUUGAACUGGGUGUUUUUUUUCAGAGGCAGAUAUCCCCCUGCCACCCAGCCAGCCCUGCGAAGUUGCACUUGUGGCCUUAAUCCCACUUGGAUGUGUGCCCCGCUGCCUCCACUCUCCGUCACUCGGGUGCUUUAGUGUUCUUGAACAAGUGAACAAUCUUUGUUUCUGUACCUUAUUAGGCCAGAGACCAUAGCAGCGAGCGAUGGCAUCAGCAGGCCCCGCAGGCAGGAUUCUCUGCAGACGCAGCCAACCUCCAACAAACCCCUUUUUAUCCUCCUGUUUCUAGGAAGAAUUAUGAUGGUGGUGCCCUGCUGUUGAUCAGUCAAAUCUGUGGUGGGCCUAGAGAUAAGUCCUGUAAGUGUGGUGUACUGUAAAACAGCGGCUCCCAUUCAUUAGUGGCUUGUGUGUAAUAAACCACCCAAUGGAGGGGGAUGGGGAAGAGAGGGAAAGAGCAGCUGCAGUGUGCAGGAACAAACAACACAACUCAUUCUUGGGAGCCAAAACUUUCUAAUUUGCUGCUGGGCUGCUGGGAGCACUCAAAUUCUUUCUGAUAAUGUGCUCGUGCCCUCGGUGUCUCUCUCUGUGUUUCUGCUCUCCAGAAUCUGGAAUAGUUUCACUCCAAACAACAAACGUGGACGCUGCUGAACAGGGAGGAGGAGGGGAACACAGCCACCCAGUGUUUGCAGACUCCAGCACAGCAGAGUGGUGGACUCGAGGCAAGUUCUGCCAUGGAAUGGCUGCUGCACGUAUCUGCUUGUGCAGUGGGUAAACAAGGCAUCACAUGGGCUGCAGGCUGAGCACGAGGCGCGUGGCUGACCUAUACGUGUAUGAGGCAUGCCGGAGGGACAGCGUAUUCCAAACGUUGUUGGAGCCUGGUGGGAUAUUCGGGAACUUCCCUCAAAAAGCUCAAACAAAACAAACGUCAAAUUGAUUGUAACUGAAAAAUUAUUUGGCUUAAUUUCUCCUGUUUUUCCACAAGUUCCAGUGAGUAUUUACAUAAGCGUAUUUCUACAUUGCCUUGCAUUGGAAAUGGCUUGUAAGUAUGUUCAUCAAGAUGUCAGUCAAUUAUAACUUGUUGCACCUGUUUGGACCUCAGUAGUUACUAAUUGUAACUGUGGAUUUUCAGCUGUGACUGUGCUGGUGCUCAGCCCCAGAUCUGUCUGCCCAUAGGACAAUAUUUCAAACUAGAAAUUAAAAUCACUGUGUGUGUUUCACAACUGCUCUCAUAGACCAAACCUUUGUGCUAGAGCUUGUACUGUCACGAGAAAGGGAAAUUAAUUUUGGAUUGAUGCUGCUCAGAAGGACCAUUAUACCCUUGCAGGAUCACACUGACUGCUUUUUCAGUGAUGUGCCAGGCUGUGAUGGUGCUUGGACUGUCUCCUAACAUUUCUAUAGACAAGGGCUACUUAAACAGCAACUUCAGGCUUGGGCCAAACUGCAAGUACUCUUUAUGUAGACAAGCAAAGUGUCAGACACAAAGUUUUUCACUUUAGUGCAGGAGAUCCACUCGCUUUCUCUUCCCUGACCUGGAGACCCGUGCCAGGCAUUGCCUGAGUCAUAACCCUUCAAGAAGAGGUGUCUCUCUGACACCUUGGCCAUAGUACCUAAUGGGUGUAGGUAAUGGGUGGCCAGUCAGACCUGGCCAAAUCCUGUGCUAGAUCUGAGCACAAACCAGUUCUACCAAAGGUUUAGGCAGUGAAGGAGCUGAAACUGGCUGCUUACCUGCCAAGCUGUACAAGGCCAGCAUGAGGCCCAGCCCUACAAGCUCUGCUUGUAGCAUUUUGGUAUUUCUGAUAAAGUCAUUUGGCAUUUUGAUUUCCCCAUGGGACAAACAGUGGGACAAUCUAAAAAUAAUAAAUAGGCUUCCUGCACAAAUACCUUGAAUCAUUAGAAGCUGAUGUUCUGUGAGUUUGCUGUGAAUCUGUUACUGCUUUUAUAUUUUCAUAAGGAUGUAGUCUAACCAUUGUUGGACAGAGGUAAACAUGAGUAACCCAGUUUUGUUCUUACACUUGGGACACCGCAAAUAGCUGAGAAGUCCUGAAGUUUUUGUGUCUAACCAGAUGAAACUGGGGGAAAUGAAAUAUUUCUUACUAAACUGAGGCAAAAUGUGCCUUGCUGAUCUAUAAGGCAGUCUAACAAUUUGGGGUUCAAAGAUGUCUAAUGUUGAAUUAUUAAAUGACUCAAUCUAGUUUUCUUUUAGAAAGGGUGAAUUAGUGAUACUAAUCUAUCAGCUGGAUCCAAACCAUUACAAAAACUUUCCUAGAAAAUAGAAUGAGAAAUAGACCAAAAACUCAGAACUCAGUCUUGCAAAUAAAAUAACAUUUUGUGACUGGUUGUUCACUAAUACGUGUGAAAGAAGGGCUACAUGUUACAUGUCUUUUGUUGUUGACAGUGUGCCCAAUGCUGUAUGAUAAAUGUUUGAAUAGUAUCACCUUCUGUUCUGCCUCCUUCACCUACAGGAGCAGCUGUGGUGGUGAAGGGGCAGCGUGAGGCACGGCCAGCCCUGACUUCCUGCAGGUGUCCAUCCGGCACCUGAACCUCGGGCAGCACCGCGUCUGUGUCCUGUGCCUGGAACCAUGCAAGACCAAAGUUUGUUCUAAACGUGAAUUUAAUGUGCUUUCAGGUUUGACAGCCUCUUUUAAAAGGAAGCGUUUAAGUUGAGCGAAAGGCACAUUUGUCUCUCCAAAUAAAUGGAAUUAUGGUUCAAAGAUCUGACUUAAUCCCGAGGCUCUUGCACUGUGCAGUAAGUAGGAAAGAAAGGGGAUUGCUCCGAGGAGCAGGGGUUAGCAGGAUCAGGGGCUGUUUUAUAUCAUCUCAUUUUCCUUCUGGUAUUUAAUAUACUUUCUUCUCAACUUGCACUGGCUGCUUGUAAAAAGACCCAGCAGUAUCAUAGAUUAACUAAUGGCAAAUAAACUAUUAAUUGAAACUAAUGAAGGAUGGUACAGGGAGUUCCCAUCCAGCUUUCCUGCUAGGAAAAUUAGAUUAUUGUUAAGCAAACAAAAAUGCCAUUCUUCCAGAUGUAUUCUCUCAUAUGGUUUCAUCCUUUUUCAGUUCAUUUCAGGACUUUUCUCCAGUGCAUUUUACUUGUUAUAACUAUUUGCUCUUUUUCUACUUAAAAAAAAGAAAGUAUAUACAACUGUGUUUUAAAAUCUACAUUGACAUUUCAGUGAUUUGAAGGAAGAUGUUUACGCAGUAACAGUGCCAUCUAUAUUUAUUGUAUCUCUGCAAACAAAAGUUCUGAUAAAAUUAAAAUAUGUAUGUGAUGGGUUUUGUGUGUUUUAAUGACAUCUGUAUGUUUCUAGUCAUGAUUUCGGUGCCUGCCCCCACAUUAGCUGGCUGGUUAAGGAAAGUGAGAUCAAUAUUCUUACUUGUCCAACGUGUCAUUUUGUUCAUUAACCCCAAUGCUGUUGGCUGCACUCUCUGAAAUCAGUGAUUUGUCUUUGAGCUAUUUCUUUUUCUGUCAAAGCCCUGAGGUACCUGUAUUCCAGCAGUGGCUGCAUUUGCGGGACAUGCUGACAUGGAAAGGAGGAGCACUGUGCUUAAAGGGAACAUUCGAGAAGAGUCUCCAGCGAAGAUCACAAUGAAGAAUGAAUUUUAUUGUGGCAAUUUCCUUCAUGGGCUGCAAAAAUAUGUGGACAGAGAUUUGGAUAAGCUUGAUUUCAGGCCAAAACCCUCUUGUGUGGAAAAAAUACCCUAAAAAAUCCUCCUUAAAGAUGAGAGACAGUCCUGCUGCUGCAGUCUACCUGGCAGGCACUGUGUGCACUGCUGUAGUGUGACCCUGGGGGGGAGUUCUGACCACAGCCUUCCAUCUGCUGAGGCCAAGCUUUGUGUCCUGGGCACUCUGGGGCUGCUGCUUGCUGCUGGUGUGGGCGGCUGGGUUCUAGUGCAGUGUAACUGCAUGACCCACUGCUAUACACACCAUUGGGAAAUCAGCUUUUGUGACAGGGAACAGACCCCAGUUUCCUAGAAUAAGUCUAUUAUUAAAAUAUUCCCUACUUUUCUCCCUACCUUCCCCAAGCCAUUCCAGCUAAAAGCUUCUCUAAGUGUGUGGAGGCAGCAGCGCUCACCUUCCCACUGUGUUUACAUGGUGACUGCCAAAAUAAACCUGGAUGGAGGGACCCAAGCUGUCCAGAGGCGUCAGAAAGCUCUUGGCCACCUGGGGGCUCUGACUGGGUUUGGGGAGACACAAGGAUACGAGCAAGUAUCCCCAGGGCUGAAGGUGCAUGGUGCUGAGGCCCUGGCCCUGUGAGCACUCAUGCAUGGCUCAGUGUCUUGUCCAUGCACUCUGGGACUCACUGUGCUCUGGAGGAUGUUCACUGACUGUGGAAUGUCUGGCCCUAGCGCAUCCCUCACUCUGGGACUUCAGGGGUGCACAGCCCCACUACACAGCGUUGUGUUCGAGUUCAUUGUUCAUUUUUAGAUGAGUUUGGUCCCCAAAGCACCUCCUGUGAUGUGCUGCUGACAAAUACGGGACAAGAGUGGAUGAGGGAUUGCUGUGCUGCAGACCUACAGCCCUGGAGUUGAGGACAGCAAAAGGAGGGAAGUAGGAUGUUGCACCUGUGUGAUGGGCAAUCACAAGGCACAAGUGGGGCCAUGUCAGACUUUGUCCCAAGGACUCAAACACUG